Molecule: unclassified non-coding RNA, 200 nt
Filed under: soil metagenome
Description: partial internal transcribed spacer 1
Source: RNAcentral
CCGAGUUUACAACUCCCAAACCCAAUGUGAACGUUACCAAACUGUUGCCUCGGCGGGAUCUCUGCCCCGGGUGCGUCGCAGCCCCGGACCAAGGCGCCCGCCGGAGGGCCAACCAAAACUCUUAUUGUAUACCCCCUCGCGGGUUUUUUUAUAAUCUGAGCCUUCUCGGCGCCUCUCGUAGGCGUUUCGAAAAUGAAUCA